UUUUUUGUAAAUUUAAUAAUUAAAGUUAUUUUAAUUUGUGAAGAAACAAUUAUAUAAAUUAAGGACAAGAAGACCCUAAGAAUUUAAGAAUUCUUAUGUUACUUAAAUAUAAAAUAGGAAUUCUUAGUUGGGGCAACUAAAAAACAUUAUAAACUUUUUUUUCUUUAAAAUGACCCAUUAUUAAUGAUAAUAUGAUUAAA
This 200-nucleotide ribosomal RNA is filed under the name Dermacentor reticulatus. Its description in RNAcentral is "partial large subunit ribosomal RNA". The record is from RNAcentral. Lineage: Eukaryota; Metazoa; Arthropoda; Arachnida; Ixodida; Ixodidae.